AUGGUGGUUCAACUAUGGCUCACAAACUCCAACUUUAAUGAGGUGGCAAAGAAAGUCUUGUCUCAGCCAAUAAGCAGCUCCUCCGCCGAAAGAAAUUGGAGUACCUACUCAUUCAUACAUAAUGUAAAGAGAAACAAGCUGAAUGCAACGACAGCCGAUAAGCUUGUCUUUAUUCAUGCAAAUGAGCGUCUGAAGAGGAGGUUUUCAGAGGGCUACAAUUCAGGUCCACAUUAUAAGUGGGAUGUUGAGCCUGAGAAUGAUUUGCUGGAGGAUUCAAGCUUGAAUCUUGAGCAGCUGCGUUGGGAUAGCUUGGAGGAUGAAGCAGCUGAUGCUGAACCACCACGCAAAAUUCAGAGGACUUGA
Molecule: ribosomal RNA, 363 nt
Filed under: Triticum aestivum (bread wheat)
Lineage: Eukaryota; Viridiplantae; Streptophyta; Magnoliopsida; Poales; Poaceae
Description: partial small subunit ribosomal RNA
Source: RNAcentral